Molecule: ribosomal RNA, 539 nt
Filed under: uncultured bacterium
Lineage: Bacteria
Description: bacterial SSU rRNA
Rfam family: Bacterial small subunit ribosomal RNA
Source: RNAcentral
GAGGAAUAUUGGUCAAUGGGCGAGAGCCUGAACCAGCCAAGUAGCGUGCAGGAAGACGGCCCUAUGGGUUGUAAACUGCUUUUGUAUGGGGAUAAAGUCAGUCACGUGUGAUUGUUUGCAGGUACCAUACGAAUAAGGACCGGCUAAUUCCGUGCCAGCAGCCGCGGUAAUACGGAAGGUCCGGGCGUUAUCCGGAUUUAUUGGGUUUAAAGGGAGCGUAGGCUGGAGAUUAAGUGUGUUGUGAAAUGUAGACGCUCAACGUCUGACUUGCAGCGCAUACUGGUUUCCUUGAGUACGCACAACGUUGGCGGAAUUCGUCGUGUAGCGGUGAAAUGCUUAGAUAUGACGAAGAACUCCGAUUGCGAAGGCAGCUGACGGGAGCGCAACUGACGCUGAAGCUCGAAGGUGCGGGUAUCGAACAGGAUUAGAUACCCUGGUAGUCCGCACAGUAAACGAUGGAUGCCCGCUGUUGGUACCUGGUAUCAGCGGCUAAGCGAAAGCAUUAAGCAUCCCACCUGGGGAGUACGCCGGCAACGGUG